Molecule: ribosomal RNA, 505 nt
Filed under: uncultured bacterium
Lineage: Bacteria
Description: partial 16S ribosomal RNA
Rfam family: Bacterial small subunit ribosomal RNA
Source: RNAcentral
GACGAACGCUGGCGGCGUGCCUAAUACAUGCAAGUAGAACGCACAGUUUAUACCGUAGCUUGCUACACCAUAGACUGUGAGCUGCGAACGGGUGAGUAACGCGUAGGUAACCUGCCUGGUAGCGGGGGAUAACUAUUGGAAACGAUAGCUAAUACCGCAUAAUAUUGAUUAUUGCAUGAUAAUUGAUUGAAAGAUGCUAUUGCAUCACUACCAGAUGGACCUGCGUUGUAUUAGCUAGUAGGUGAGGUAACGGCUCACCUAGGCGACGAUACAUAGCCGACCUGAGAGGGUGAUCGGCCACACUGGGACUGAGACACGGCCCAGACUCCUACGGGAGGCAGCAGUAGGGAAUCUUCGGCAAUGGACGAAAGUCUGACCGAGCAACGCCGCGUGAGUGAAGAAGGGUUUCGGAUCGUAAAGCUCUGUUGUAAGAGAAGAACGGGUGUGAGAGUGGAAAGUUCACACUGUGACGGUAUCUUACCAGAAAGGGACGGCUAACUACGUG